Molecule: long non-coding RNA, 688 nt
Organism: Papaver somniferum (opium poppy)
Lineage: Eukaryota; Viridiplantae; Streptophyta; Magnoliopsida; Ranunculales; Papaveraceae
Exons: 2
Source: RefSeq, a predicted model, not a curated record
UUCUUUUCCUCCAUUCUUAAAUAGGGCUUCAUAUUUCAAGAACUACAUAGCUUCCUCGCCCUCAUCUCCUCCAAAUUCCAGUACGUACAUUUUAUUUUUCCCUUAGAAAGAGCAAGAGUGCUUUGAAAAUGUGUUCAAAAAAUAUUAAGGUUUUCCUUUGGCUAGCUCUGGUUGCUGCCCUGCUUCUAAUGUCUUCUCAGGUUUUAACUGUUAAGGGCUUGACUGAGAAGAAACCAGAGGUGGAGGCGGUGGAGGCAACUGAAAAAAAUGGAGUGGAAAACCUUAAAUAUGAGGCAUCUCUAGCAGUAGCAGGCGGCGCCCAAUGUGGUUCACCUGGUUGUUGUAGAUUCAGGUCGGUCAGCCCAAGAUUUGUUCCAACUUGCUUAAGAUGUUGCCCCUAAUUUUGUUGCUCAAACUAAAGCCUCGAACUGUUUGUUGAAAUACUACUGCAACUACUGGUUCCACUCGCAAAUGAUCCGAAGCCUAGGAAUUGUCUAAUGAACAAAUAUUUUUGCAGUUUGUAAUGAUUUUUGGAAAAAAAUCAGCGGCCCAUGAUUAAGUAUCAUUAUCUGAAGUAUUUAUGUUUUUACUGUAUCAUUUUACCCUUGAUUUGUGCAUUGUGCCCCAUUUUAUCUUCCAUGGUUAAUGGCAAUCGGUCAGCAACUCGAGUCCUUUUUAUGGUUUAGUC